This 23-nucleotide non-coding RNA is filed under the name Gallus gallus (chicken). Lineage: Eukaryota; Metazoa; Chordata; Aves; Galliformes; Phasianidae. RNAcentral also lists the same sequence under 1 other name. The record is from RNAcentral.
UUGACUCUAGUCUGGCACGGUGA